Molecule: long non-coding RNA, 2759 nt
Organism: Marmota monax (woodchuck)
Lineage: Eukaryota; Metazoa; Chordata; Mammalia; Rodentia; Sciuridae
Exons: 2
Source: RefSeq, a predicted model, not a curated record
GCGGCGGAGGUCCGGACGUCUCCGCCCGCUUUCCCCGAACCGGAGCGGAGGCGGGGCGGGGGCGCUGGCACCCUGGGACGGGCCACGGUUCUUGUGGCUCGGCUCGUGGAGGGUGCAUUGCAGACCUGGGGGACUGUCCGGUCUUCCUGGCUGAAUAUGAAGGCUGCUUACACCGAGAAGACCGGUGCCCACCAGCUGCCGGCCCCCUGACCAGUUUGAGGAGGGGUCUGAGAUCCUUCGCCUACGCUGAUCCUAACUCGCAGCGAUUAGCAGCAGAAUAGCAGCUCUGCCACCUUGUGGUGGCGCGAGGCAGCGCGCCCUCCUCCGAUUCCAGAAAGGUCCCCAUGACGCUGCAGCCUGAGGCAGGUUUUCAUUAUUCACCCUGGUGGGCAGAGCGACACUGGAAAGACAAAACAAACAAGACCACAAGCCGAUCUAGUGUUUCCUCCCUCUGGUUCAUUUCUGAGGAUCUGGUCGAUGCGGAUGCAGGAAAACAUUCUGCAGUUUCUCUUGCUAGGACGGUUUUUUUUUUUUUUUCUUUUAAAUCAAAACCUAGCCCUGCUUUCAAACCCUAGUUUAAACUCCACCUCCUUCAAGAUAACGUUUCUGACUCCUCCCCCGGACAUCUUUUGAAAUUCGUCUGUACACAGAUCCAACACACAGCAUGGACUAAUCUGCUGUCAUUUUUACAGUUAUUUCCUUGAGGUCCUUUGUGUCCAUAGACACCAUAGUGCUCAGCCACAGGCCAGGGAACAAAAAGAGCUCUUAAUUUCUAUUUCUAUUUCUUCUUCUUCUUCUCUUCAUUUGCAGUACUAAGGUUCUUUACACUGAGCUGUACCCCAGCUCUUAUUAUUAUUAUUAUUAUUAUUAUUAUUUUGCUAGGCUGUUCUUGGACUUGUGAUCCUCCUGUCUCAGUCUCCAGAGUAGCUGGAUUACAGGCCUGCAAGCUCUUGCUUCUUAAUUGAUUAAUUUCUAUAGAUACAACUCUGAGCCUUUGCUUAGAAAAACUUUCUAGAACUCUUAGUUCUUUGUGGGAAUCUAGAUAAUGAUCUAAUCUAAUGUGUCCUUGCACAAUAAGUAGUUUCACAAACCAGUUUCACAAGAGAACACCAAAACCACCCAGAGUGGGAUGAGGAAGUUUGAAGUUUGAAGCAGACUCCCAGAAGAAGGAGGAGAGUGACAAUGUGGAAAGGUCAAAGGAGGAAGAAUUGGUGGUGGUGGUGAUCCUCUAUCUCUGAGGUUGGAGAAAGGCAGCAUAGGCUCUAGAGCCAGCUUUAUGUCCAAACAUUUGCUGUGUGGCAUCGGGGAAGUUAAUGCUCCUCUCUGUGCCUCAGUUUUCUUAGGGCUUUGAAUUGAAUUUUUAUUUGUAAAGUGCUAGAAUAGCACCUGGCCAAAAUAAGUGUUAUAUAACUGUUUGUAAAUGAAUGGGGGAAAUGAUAUAUUCUGUGGGUUCCCUUCUGCACUGUUCUUUUGGGGUGAUGCCUGAGCCUUGGGUCAGGCAGGUCUGAUUGACUCUUAUCUCUGUCUAUUGCUGUGGACCUUGGGCAGAUCUCUCUUCUUUUUGGAGCCUCAGUUUUGUCAUCUGUGAGGUAGGGGUAAUUAUGUCUCUCUCCAAGACUGUUAUGUUACAGGUUUGGAAAAUGCCUGGUGCCUGAGGCAUAAUGAGCAGGAGCUAGAGUAUUACCUCGGAUGAGAGGAGCACCAUAGAAAGGGGAAUUGAGUUUCCAAAAUUUUUGAGGUUAAAAAAAGCGAUUGAAUUUGCCAAACAGCAAUAAGACCAGGUGAACAUACAGAGCUGGGGGCUGGGGAGGUGGGCCCUGGGCCUGGGCCAUGAGUCAUUAUCACAGCAUCUGAAACACCCAGGAAUGGCCCGUGCAUACUCUAGGAACAUUUUCUGCUCCAGGGCUGUGCUGAGGGUGUGGACCCUGUAGGGCUGGAUGCCAGGAGAGGUAGGCCCUCCUGCCCUCCUUCCCAGGAGGGGGCUGUGGCAGGAGAGGCUAGGUGCUGGCAGGUCUAGGAAACCUGUGGUUGUUGUAUGUGUGCAUGAGGGGCCUGUGUGUGGGAACAGCCCAGAGCCGUCCUGCCCCACCUGGUGAACUCCUAGGCCUGGCAUCUGCAGCUGCCAGCCCUGACUGAGGACACCCCAGAUCAGCUGUCAGCAAUUAUUGAAGGGUUGGGGGAGGGAGGGUUAUGAGAAUCCCACGGAUCUUAAUUCCCUUCAACUACAUAGGUGGAAAAGUACUAACUGGGCUGUAUAUUUCUUUGAGUUCUUUUCAAAGGGGAAGCUGGGUUGCGACAUCAACAAUAGGGUGUUGCAAUCCCCAACAUGUCGGGAAUCACACUUAGGUCCCCACACUUGACGGCUCUUGUCCUCUGUGCUUCAAAUCAGGCCAAGGACAGGGGCAUCUACCGCUAAGUAAUCUGUUAUUCAGGCUUCCAGACAAUCUGAGGCCCUGACAAACCACCUUUGGAUUUUGGGGAUCACAGAGGACUCUGGAAGCCUCCUUCCAUAUGCAAAUUUCCAGCAAUAGCAUCAAAGGUGGACCCUGUUGAGAAGACCCCAGAGUGGGACUGUGCCUCAAAAAUGCCAUAGAGUAUGAAGGGUCAUGAAGGUGCAAAUUUUAAUUGUCCCUGGGGAGAAGGGAAUGUGCGCUUAUUUUCUUCUUUUUUUGCUUCUCAGUACUUUCUGAUUUUUUUUUCUUAUUGUUUCUGGCAAGCACAUAUUGCUUUGUAAUAAAGAAAAAUAUUUUUAAAAUGUU